This 1299-nucleotide long non-coding RNA is filed under the name Gossypium barbadense (sea-island cotton). RNAcentral describes it as "long non-coding RNA (GBAR_LNC013472)". Lineage: Eukaryota; Viridiplantae; Streptophyta; Magnoliopsida; Malvales; Malvaceae. The record is from RNAcentral.
AUGAUGCUGUAAACGCUGGCUUUUUGUCAUCGGAAGAGGAUGAUUACGUGCUCGAAUCGUCAUAUUUUUGUCGCUAGUAGCAAGCCUAAGAAUUGCAGAGUUCAUCAAGUUGAUAAAGGUUGGAGCAGCAUGCUGACAAGAACUAUUGUGCAAUACAGUAUACCCCAAACUCCCAUCAUCAUACUGCUCAUCCAUCACAACUGCCCCAUACCUAUCAAUACAAACAUAAAAGAUAAAAUAUAUAUAUAUUUAAAAAAGUAACAAACAUGCUUUAAGUAAGCGAUUCCAAUCCCAGUUGCCUUCCAUCAUAUUGGAAUACUCAAACAGAGGAAAGAAACUACAGAAAACUAAAAGUUUUAGGCACAUUAUUCAACUCCUGAUAGAGUAGGCUGAAACUAGAGAAAAAACCAUAAAGCAAAAGAGAAAAGGCAUGUGAACCCAAGUUGGAGAUAAUGCUGAUUCCAAAAUGGCUUGCCAAUCAAACUUAAAAUCAGAAAAAUAACACAAUCAGAAAACUAAUGGAAAAAGAACCCAACUCAAAAACCUUAAUUGAACUAUUUCGGCUUGGUUUCAUGAGUUCUUUUCUAUGUUCUGCAUACAAAGCAGCAGCAUCCUUAUGCCACAUGCAGCAAAGUCCCUUUUACCUAUUUUACUUAAUCUCUUAGAUCUACCAUUUCUGCAUAAUCUACUUGAAAUAAAGUAACUCCUCUAAACUCAUACCAAACAUGCACACACACAAAAAGGCAAAUGCAGUUUCACUUUGAGAUAUCGAAAAAUAUAAGCUCAAAAUAUGAAAAACAUUCCACACCAAUUAAAUCAAAAGGCUUGACAUGUCUAACAACAAAUAUAAAAGGCUGGACUCUGUGCUAGUGAGGCUUGAAAAAUACAUCUACAGCUGUGAAAAUAAACACAAUCUUAAAAGAGAACAAGCAAUAAUAAAUUCUCUUAUUAAAGAGACAAAACUGAAAAAAGUACAAAUAAACAAGUGUUGAAAAUAUGAUAAACAAAAGCUUUUAGAGGGCAUAACCAUGCAGUGAUGGACUUUGCAUGCUACAAAUAAUUUAAUGUUUCUCACAAAAAUACAACAUGAUUACUAUCAAAUAAGACAUCUUCUGCAUCAAGACCAGAUAAACAGAAUAUAAGAAAAUAAUUUUGUGAUUAAGGAAGAUCUACCUUGACUGGUAUGAUUCGUUAAAGCUAGACAUUAGAAAUUCACUCAUUGAAAGCAAAACAGGUCCUAAAGUUGGUCCUGCUGCCUCUACAGCAUCGGCUAAAGCCCUUUCUGAAUCAGGAAAUUUG